Molecule: ribosomal RNA, 253 nt
Filed under: uncultured bacterium
Lineage: Bacteria
Description: partial 16S ribosomal RNA
Rfam family: Bacterial small subunit ribosomal RNA
Source: RNAcentral
UACGUAGGGGGCUAGCGUUGUCCGGAAUCAUUGGGCGUAGAGCGCGUGUAGGCGGUUCGGUAAGUCCGCUGUGAAAGUCGGGGGCUCAACCCUCGAAUGCCGGUGGAUACUGUCGGACUAGAGUACGGAAGAGGCGAGUGGAAUUCCUGGUGUAGCGGUGAAAUGCGCAGAUAUCAGGAGGAACACCAAUUGCGAAGGCAGCUCGCUGGGACGUUACUGACGCUGAGACGCGAAAGCGUGGGGAGCAAACAGG